GGUUCUAUAGUGUAGCGGUCAUCACAUCGGAUUCUGAUUUCCUUCAGGAUCUUCCGGGAACCCCGGUUCGAUUCCGGGUAGGACCU
Non-coding RNA from Paecilomyces variotii, 86 nucleotides. NCBI's taxonomy places the organism in Eukaryota, Fungi, Ascomycota, Eurotiomycetes, Eurotiales, Thermoascaceae. The record is from the annotation of a RefSeq genome assembly.